RNAcentral lists this ribosomal RNA (609 nucleotides) under Glomus sp. MS. RNAcentral describes it as "SSU rRNA". It matches the Rfam family "Eukaryotic small subunit ribosomal RNA", at positions 647 to 1255 of the family's 1831-position model. The record is from RNAcentral. Lineage: Eukaryota; Fungi; Glomeromycota; Glomeromycetes; Glomerales; Glomeraceae.
AGGUCAAAUUGUCGGUCGUGCCUCGGUACGUACUGGCAUUAUUGAUUUCUCCUUUCUGACGAACCGCGAUGUCAUUAAUUUGGUGUCGUGGGGAAUCAGGACUUUUACUUUGAAAAAAUUAGAGUGUUUAAAGCAGGCUCACGCUUGAAUACAUUAGCAUGGAAUAAUGAAAUAGGACGUUUGAUUCUAUUUUGUUGGUUUCUAGGAUCGACAUAAUGAUUAAUAGGGAUAGUUGGGGGCAUUAGUAUUCAAUUGUCAGAGGUGAAAUUCUUGGAUUUAUUGAAGACUAACUACUGCGAAAGCAUUUGCCAAGGAUGUUUUCAUUAAUCAAGAACGAAAGUUAGGGGAUCGAAGACGAUCAGAUACCGUCGUAGUCUUAACCAUAAACUAUGCCGACUAGGGAUCGGAUGAUGUUAAUUUUUUAAUGACUCAUUCGGCGCCUUACGGGAAACCAAAGUGUUUGGGUUCCGGGGGGAGUAUGGUCGCAAGGCUGAAACUUAAAGGAAUUGACGGAAGGGCACCACCAGGGGUGGAGCCUGCGGCUUAAUUUGACUCAACACGGGGAAACUCACCAGGUCCAGACAUAGUAAGGAUUGACAGAUUGAGAGC